ACCGUUGCUGCCACCUUGCAAAAUCGGCCUCACCCGACCAAGCGAUUUCUGGCACCUUUCUGCCUCCAGGACCCAUUUCUGAGGUUAAAAGGCUCCUCUGUUCUAUUUCUCCUAAAUUGGAAAUUGGAUCCAGAGUCUUGAUCAUCUUCAAGCUUGAUCCCUUUGGCAACACAGUAGGUAUUAUU
RNAcentral lists this long non-coding RNA (185 nucleotides) under Mustela putorius furo (domestic ferret). RNAcentral describes it as "lncRNA (ENSMPUG00000026305.1)". The record is from RNAcentral. Lineage: Eukaryota; Metazoa; Chordata; Mammalia; Carnivora; Mustelidae.